RNAcentral lists this ribosomal RNA (252 nucleotides) under uncultured bacterium. Its description in RNAcentral is "partial 16S ribosomal RNA". It matches the Rfam family "Bacterial small subunit ribosomal RNA", at positions 524 to 776 of the family's 1533-position model. The record is from RNAcentral.
UACGGAGGGAGCUAGCGUUGUUCGGAUAUACUGGGCGUAAGCGCACGUAGGCGGCGCCGUAAGUCAGGGGUGAAAUCCCGGAGCUCAACUCCGGAACUGCCCUUGAAACUGCAGUGCUAGAAUCUUGGAGAGGCGAGUGGAAUUCCGAGUGUAGAGGUGAAAUUCGUAGAUAUUCGGAAGAACACCAGUGGCGAAGGCGACUCGCUGGACAAGUAUUGACGCUGAGGUGCGAAAGCGUGGGGAGCAAACAGG